Non-coding RNA from Megalops cyprinoides (Indo-Pacific tarpon), 82 nucleotides. NCBI's taxonomy places the organism in Eukaryota, Metazoa, Chordata, Actinopteri, Elopiformes, Megalopidae. The record is from the annotation of a RefSeq genome assembly.
GUUGAGAUGGCCGAGUGGUUAAGGUGUUGGAUUCAAAAUCCAAUGGGAUUAUCCCGUGCAGGUUCGAACCCUGCUCACAGCA